RNAcentral lists this ribosomal RNA (404 nucleotides) under uncultured bacterium. Its description in RNAcentral is "partial 16S ribosomal RNA". It matches the Rfam family "Bacterial small subunit ribosomal RNA", at positions 30 to 526 of the family's 1533-position model. The record is from RNAcentral.
AUUGAACGCUGGCGGCAGGCCUAACACAUGCAAGUCGAGCGAGCGGCGGACGGGUGAGUAAUGCCUGGGAAUUGCACAGUCGAGGGGGAUAACAUUUGGAAACUACUGCUAAUACCGCAUACGCUUUGGUCGCCGAGGUGGUCUUGGCUAGUUGGUGAGGUAAUGGCUCACCAAGGAGACGAUCCCUAGGUGGUCUGAGAGGAUGAUCAGCGACACUUGAACUGAGACACGGUCCGGACUCCGACGGGAGGCAGCAGUGGGGAAUAUUGCACAAUGGGGGCAACCCUGAUGCAGCCAUGCCGCGUGUGUGAAGAAGGCCUUAGGGUUGUAAAGCACUUUCAGCGAGGAGGCGUUACUCGCAGAAGAAGCACCGGCUAACUCCGUGCCAGCAGCCGCGGUAAUUC